This 1345-nucleotide ribosomal RNA is filed under the name uncultured bacterium. RNAcentral describes it as "bacterial SSU rRNA". It matches the Rfam family "Bacterial small subunit ribosomal RNA", at positions 28 to 1381 of the family's 1533-position model. The record is from RNAcentral.
GAUGAACGCUAGCGGGAGGCCUAACACAUGCAAGCCGAGCGGUAUUGUUUCUUCGGAAAUGAGAGAGCGGCGUACGGGUGCGGAACACGUGUGCAACCUGCCUUUAUCUGGGGGAUAGCCUUUCGAAAGGAAGAUUAAUACUCCAUAAUAUAUUGAACGGCAUCGUUUAAUAUUGAAAGCUCCGGCGGAUAGAGAUGGGCACGCGCAAGAUUAGCUAGUUGGUGAGGUAACGGCUCACCAAGGCGAUGAUCUUUAGGGGGCCUGAGAGGGUGAUCCCCCACACUGGUACUGAGACACGGACCAGACUCCUACGGGAGGCAGCAGUGAGGAAUAUUGGUCAAUGGGUGCAAGCCUGAACCAGCCAUCCCGCGUGAAGGACGACUGCCCUAUGGGUUGUAAACUUCUUUUGUAUAGGGAUAAACCUACCCUCGUGAGGGUAGCUGAAGGUACUAUACGAAUAAGCACCGGCUAACUCCGUGCCAGCAGCCGCGGUAAUACGGAGGGUGCAAGCGUUAUCCGGAUUUAUUGGGUUUAAAGGGUCCGUAGGCGGACUUAUAAGUCAGUGGUGAAAGCCUGUCGCUUAACGAUAGAACUGCCAUUGAUACUGUAAGUCUUGAGUAUAUUUGAGGUAGCUGGAAUAAGUAGUGUAGCGGUGAAAUGCAUAGAUAUUACUUAGAACACCAAUUGCGAAGGCAGGUUACCAAGAUAUAACUGACGCUGAGGGACGAAAGCGUGGGGAGCGAACAGGAUUAGAUACCCUGGUAGUCCACGCCGUAAACGAUGCUAACUCGUUUUUGGGCUUUAGGGUUCAGAGACCAAGCGAAAGUGAUAAGUUAGCCACCUGGGGAGUACGCUCGCAAGAGUGAAACUCAAAGGAAUUGACGGAGGCCCGCACAAGCGGUGGAUUAUGUGGUUUAAUUCGAUGAUACGCGAGGAACCUUACCAAGACUUAAAUGGGAAUUGACAGCUUUAGAAAUAGAGCUUUCUUCGGACAAUUUUCAAGGUGCUGCAUGGUUGUCGUCAGCUCGUGCCGUGAGGUGUUAGGUUAAGUCCUGCAACGAGCGCAACCCCUGUCACUAGUUGCCAUCAUUCAGUUGGGGACUCUAGUGAGACUGCCUACGCAAGUAGAGAGGAAGGUGGGGAUGACGUCAAAUCAUCACGGCCCUUACGUCUUGGGCCACACACGUAAUACAAUGGCCGGUACAGAGGGCAGCUACACAGCGAUGUGAUGCAAAUCUCGAAAGCCGGUCUCAGUUCGGAUUGGAGUCUGCAACUCGACUCUAUGAAGCUGGAAUCGCUAGUAAUCGCGCAUCAGCCAUGGCGCGGUGAAUACGUUCCCGGGCCU